UCCGUAGGUGAACCUGCGGAAGGAUCAUUACCGAGUUGAUUCGAGCUCCGGCUCGACUCUCCCACCCUAUGUGUACCUACCUCUGUUGCUUUGGCGGGCCGCGGUCCUCCGCACCGGCCCCCGUUCGGGGGCUGGCCAGCGCCCGCCAGAGGACCACAAAACUCCAGUCAGUGAACGUCGCAGUCUGAAAAACAAGUUAAUAAACUAAAACUUUCAACAACGGAUCUCUUGGUUCUGGCAUCGAUGAAGAACGCAGCGAAAUGCGAUAAGUAAUGUGAAUUGCAGAAUUCAGUGAAUCAUCGAAUCUUUGAACGCACAUUGCGCCCCUUGGUAUUCCGAGGGGCAUGCCUGUUCGAGCGUCAUUUCAACCCUCAAGCUCUGCUUGGUAUUGGGCUCCGUCCUCCACGGACGCGCCUCAAAGACCUCGGCGGUGGCGUCUUGCCUCAAGCGUAGUAGAAAACACCUCGCUUUGGAGCGCACGGCGUCGCCCGCCGGACGAACCUUUGAAUUUUUCUCAAGGUUGACCUCGGAUCAGGUAGGGAUACCCGCUGAACUUAAGCAUAUCAAUAAGCGGAGGA
Molecule: small RNA, 578 nt
Filed under: Neofusicoccum vitifusiforme
Lineage: Eukaryota; Fungi; Ascomycota; Dothideomycetes; Botryosphaeriales; Botryosphaeriaceae
Description: eukaryotic LSU rRNA
Rfam family: 5.8S ribosomal RNA (bases 209-362)
Source: RNAcentral